GGCCACGGCCAUACCAGCCUGAUCACACCCCCUCUCUGAUCUCAGAGGCUUUGCAGCCUAGGCCUGUCAGCACAUGGAUGGGAGACCACCUGGGAAUAUCAGGUGCUGUAGACU
Molecule: ribosomal RNA, 114 nt
Filed under: Prolemur simus (greater bamboo lemur)
Lineage: Eukaryota; Metazoa; Chordata; Mammalia; Primates; Lemuridae
Source: RNAcentral